Molecule: ribosomal RNA, 311 nt
Filed under: uncultured bacterium
Lineage: Bacteria
Description: bacterial SSU rRNA
Rfam family: Bacterial small subunit ribosomal RNA
Source: RNAcentral
GACGAACGCUGGCGGCGCGCCUAACACAUGCAAGUCGAACGAGCGAGAGAGAGCUUGCUUUCUCAAGCGAGUGGCGAACGGGUGAGUAACGCGUGAGGAACCUGCCUCAAAGAGGGGGACAACAGUUGGAAACGACUGCUAAUACCGCAUAAGCCCACGACCCGGCAUCGGGUUGAGGGAAAAGGAGCAAUCCGCUUUGAGAUGGCCUCGCGUCCGAUUAGCUAGUUGGUGAGGUAACGGCCCACCAAGGCGACGAUCGGUAGCCGGACUGAGAGGUUGAACGGCCGCAUUGGGACUGAGACACGGCCCAG